AAUGGGCGCAAGCCUGAUCCAGCCAUGCCGCGUGAGUGAUGAAGGCCUUAGGGUUGUAAAGCUCUUUCAGCGAGGAGGAUAAUGACGUUACUCGCAGAAGAAGCCCCGGCUAACUUCGUGCCAGCAGCCGCGGUAAUACGAAGGGGGCUAGCGUUGUUCGGAAUCACUGGGCGUAAAGCGCACGUAGGCGGAUUGGUCAGUUAGGGGUGAAAUCCCAGAGCUCAACUCUGGAACUGCCUUUAAUACUGCCAGUCUUGAGUCCGAGAGAGGUGAGUGGAACUCCGAGUGUAGAGGUGAAAUUCGUAGAUAUUCGGAAGAACACCAGUGGCGAAGGCGGCUCACUGGCUCGGUACUGACGCUGAGGUGCGAAAGCGUGGGGAGCAAACAGGAUU
RNAcentral lists this ribosomal RNA (392 nucleotides) under uncultured Gammaproteobacteria bacterium. RNAcentral describes it as "bacterial SSU rRNA". It matches the Rfam family "Bacterial small subunit ribosomal RNA", at positions 370 to 779 of the family's 1533-position model. The record is from RNAcentral. Lineage: Bacteria; Pseudomonadati; Pseudomonadota; Gammaproteobacteria.